This 3716-nucleotide long non-coding RNA is filed under the name Equus caballus (horse). RNAcentral describes it as "lncRNA (ENSECAG00000045650.1)". Lineage: Eukaryota; Metazoa; Chordata; Mammalia; Perissodactyla; Equidae. The record is from RNAcentral.
GGCCAAAGAGUGGGUAGGGCGAAUGAGGAAAAGCAGCAAAGUGUACUCCCUCACAGAGAGGCAGAGAAGUGCGUUAGAACCCUGGGGAAGCAAGCUGGGAACCUCCCUCGAAGCCUGUCUGUUUCACUGUGCUCUCCUUAUCAUAGACACCUGCCACAGGGUUUGGCAUUUCCCCUUUUCUGAUUGGCUGCCUCCCCAGGGCCUGGGCCUCAGUGCUGGUGGCCCUCUGGGGGUCGGGAGCGCAUAAAUAGUUCCUGCUGGGGAAACUGGGAAACUGGUCUCAGACAAGAGGAACAGACAUCUCUGCCACGCACUGCUGCCUGGAGCUGCAUGAGGUCCCAGUGCUGCCAGCGUGUCUUCUGUGUAUAGCCCCAUGCACCUCUGCCUCAGCCACAGCCCUUCCCCGCAGCAGCUCCCGCGGCCUGGCCUGGUAGAGCUGCAGUCCCAGGCCUCCUUCUACUCCUUCCUGGUACGACUGCAUGAACCCCAGAGACCCAAGAAGCGAGUAGUGUUUGCAGACACGAAGGGGAUCUCGUUGACAUCCGUGUACAAGUUUGAAGAUGCUGUGGGCAGACACGUGUCCCAUGUUCAGUUUCCUGCGCCCUGAGCCACCUGGCUGGCCAGAGCCACCACCUACGCUCUGGGCUUCCCCGCACCCAGGCAGGGUUCGGGGGUUCCAGAGGCGCCUGCAGGUGCAGAGUGUGCGCCCGGAGCAGCGUGCUGGGCAGGGGGCUUCCUGCGAGGCGCUGUCUAGCAGGCAGGCUGGGUUCCAGAAGGCAAGGCAGAUGCGCAUCACCUUUGAUGUCAGGGCUCCUUCCAAGAAGUGCCUAGUGUUCACACGGCCAGUCCUUGCAGAAGCGAGACUGACAGCUUCGCCUUCCAAGCCAUGUUGCCACUAGGUCCCCCAGGCCGGUGGGCACCAUUCAGUUCUGCUUCUGUUGUUGGGGAAAACAAUCAAGGGCAAACCUGUUGUUUGGUGCCCAGUUCUCAGUCACGCUCAUCACAAUGUAAGUGAGCUCUGUGAGGGCCCACAGACAGGGUGAGCCGUCUGUGGUUACAUUUUCUGCAGAGGCGAAGCUUGAAUUCCUCACCCAGGAUGUGCUAUUCCUAUCGCUUCUGGAACUUUAUUCAGACUCUUCUUUCUCCUGAAUUCACAGUGGGGAGACAGGAGGGACACAACUCCCAGCCCCCAGAAAGCCUUGAAUGCUUUGCAUUCUUCUCUCACAAGGGGAGCCCACUUCCUGACCAAAGGGCUGAAAUUUCCUUUAGGGAGAUGCUGGGAAUGGCGCCCUUUACCCUUUGCAGAGGAGCCUUUGGAGUGUGGAAACAGAAGAAAUGUAAAUAAAGCUUUUAUGUGUCAUUAUUUAACAGGCCUGGCAGAGUGGCUGUAAGGACUGUGUGGAGUGGGGGAGGGCCGGGGAGGGUUCUUUGCAUUGAAAGCAGGAGGCACCCAGCACAGGAAGGAGCUCUUACACUUUCCUCUCCAGGUGGAAAGGGCCAGCUUUCUGGUAACUUGAAAUUGUACUGCUGCUUCAACUGUUGCCUAAAGAAAAGUUCAUUAAAGCAUCUUCAGUGGUUCACGUUGUAAACACUUGACCUUUCCCCCUCUUUAGCAGGUAAAAGUCUGGGGAAACUCUGUCUACCUCAAAACAGAUGCACUUAAAAAAAAACAAAAACAUUUUUAGCUGUUUUGUGCAUAAUUUACCAAGACCCAGAAACCUGACCUUUGUUCCUAGGCCCCUCCCUCCCCUGUUGUAUUUAUCACCCUAUAUGGAAACUGCUUAUUGAACUGUUUGCCACCCUCAGGGCCUGGAAAGGCUGGACCAGGACUGCCAUCCACCCUGCUGGCCCCCAGGCUGUCAGCCCUGGAAUGCUCAGGAGGUAAGGGUUGGAAUAAUAAGUGAAUGUUUGUGCCAGGUAGGCCCCUCGCUUCAACUUGCAAUGCUCUGAGAUCUUCAGUCUUCAGAAGAUUUUAGCCUCUUUUCGGAGAUUGCUCAUUCUCUCAGAUUACUGUUCGUGGAUGACAAAUUUUAAAUAUGUGUUUAAAAAGAAUGUUUCUCUCUUCUGAUUCCUUGACUUCUUGGGCUAUAUUUUUUUGUGCCGGUGGCAGGCUAUAUCAAUGCAAUCAUUGUGGCUGAGCAAGCAGCAUUCUCUUUUUCUCCCUAAAGGGCCUGCCCCAGCUGAUUCAAUCUGUAAAACAACCAGGUGGUUAACAGCGUAAAGCUAGAAGCAGCCAAACACACCGGCUUCCAGGGCCGCUCUGAACACAGCUGCAGCUUCCUCAUCUGAUAAGGAACGCUUUCAUAACUGCACCUGUUUCCUCCUGCUCCCUCUCCAGCCUUCUAGCCCUGCCUCCAUUAAGGGAUGAUCAGGAAUAGCUAACAUCCAUGCCCAUCUUCCUCUACUUUAUACGCGGGAUGCCUACCACAGCAUGGCUUGAUGAGCGGUGCAAUGUCCGCACCUGGGAACCGAACCCGCGGACCCCAGGCCACCAAAGCGGAAUGUGCACACUUAACCGCUGCGCCACCGGGCCGGGGGUUUUUAUUUAAUGGGUAUUGAGUUUUCAUUUUUCAAGAUGAAAAAUUUCUAGAGAUCGGGUGUACAACAAUGUGAAUAUACUUAACACUACUGAACUGUGCCCUUAGAAAUGGUAAAGUUGGUAAGUUUUGUGUGUAUUUUACCACAACUAAUUUUUUUUAAAAAAAAAAGAACACAACUUUUGCUUAAUUUGGCUUUUUCUCUUGGUGCUUGGAAAUGAGCAUUGGUGUUGCUGGUUGUGUAGUAAACAGUUGUGGAUUCACCUCUUAAUGAAUGUUAAAGACUUUGUACGUUAAAAGGUGACCGUGGAAGGGAAAGGAAUUAUACAGCACACUUAUGGUGUUGUUCUACUGAGGGACAGAGUACCUUUCAAACGGAGUAUCUUCCCAGGUUCAUAGCACUGUGUGUCAUACACGCAGCAAACACAAUGAUUGUAGAGGCACAUUUUGGGAAAUGAGCUCAAAGUUAGGAUGGGAUGGGGAUCGUUAAACCUCUCACUGAGACCUUAAUCACUGUGACCCCCUUCUUUUAAUGGCCUAUCCUUCAUCAGGUACUUAAAAUUACUCACGUAGUUUUUGUAGCACAAGAGUAUUUUCAUCGUAGAAUGUGAAAAUACCUUCAACAAUAAUCUAGAGACAGUCCGAAUUCAGUGUCAAGGAAUUUAGUGCCGGCGAUGAGCCUGGUCAUGCUAUCAGGCAGUAGGCCUUCUCUAUAGAUAAACCCACGCCAUGUCUAAAUUCUCAAGCGUUACUUGCUCACUUUCUCUCUCUCCCAUUUGUAUUCUUUGUGCCUAGAAAUGACCAUGACAGAGAGAUGCCCAGAUCACUGACCUUUGCAAACAAAACUUUGGAGCCUAAGAGAACUAUAUUAACCCAGUUCUUACUGAUUUCCUCUUUGAGGGGGAAGUUUGAUUGCUUUCCCACACCAAAGAAGUUUAGAGAAUGUGCCAGUGAAUGGGUGCCUACUCUCACCUGGGUAUGUGUGCGUGUGUUGAUACCCAAGAAGUGAGUUUACUAUUUGGUUGGGCAAAGAAUCAAUGAACACGAUUUGUAUUGAGCCUGUAAUGUGUGUGACUUAUUUUUUAAUUUCAAAAUUAUUAUAUACAAGGAACUGUAAUAUUUGGUAAGAAUUGUGAGAAAAUUUAAACAUGAAUAGACACUAGCAGAGCAGACAGACAC